This 791-nucleotide ribosomal RNA is filed under the name Salmonella enterica. RNAcentral describes it as "partial 23S ribosomal RNA". It matches the Rfam family "Bacterial large subunit ribosomal RNA", at positions 2143 to 2925 of the family's 2925-position model. Lineage: Bacteria; Pseudomonadati; Pseudomonadota; Gammaproteobacteria; Enterobacterales; Enterobacteriaceae. The record is from RNAcentral.
AUAGGUGGGAGGCUUUGAAGUGUGGACGCCAGUCUGCAUGGAGCCGACCUUGAAAUACCACCCUUUAAUGUUUGAUGUUCUAACGUGGACCCGUUACCCGGGUUGCGGACAGUGUCUGGUGGGUAGUUUGACUGGGGCGGUCUCCUCCUAAAGAGUAACGGAGGAGCACGAAGGUUGGCUAAUCCUGGUCGGACAUCAGGAGGUUAGUGCAAUGGCAUAAGCCAGCUUGACUGCGAGCGUGACGGCGCGAGCAGGUGCGAAAGCAGGUCAUAGUGAUCCGGUGGUUCUGAAUGGAAGGGCCAUCGCUCAACGGAUAAAAGGUACUCCGGGGAUAACAGGCUGAUACCGCCCAAGAGUUCAUAUCGACGGCGGUGUUUGGCACCUCGAUGUCGGCUCAUCACAUCCUGGGGCUGAAGUAGGUCCCAAGGGUAUGGCUGUUCGCCAUUUAAAGUGGUACGCGAGCUGGGUUUAGAACGUCGUGAGACAGUUCGGUCCCUAUCUGCCGUGGGCGCUGGAGAACUGAGGGGGGCUGCUCCUAGUACGAGAGGACCGGAGUGGACGCAUCACUGGUGUUCGGGUUGUCAUGCCAAUGGCACUGCCCGGUAGCUAAAUGCGGAAGAGAUAAGUGCUGAAAGCAUCUAAGCACGAAACUUGCCCCGAGAUGAGUUCUCCCUGAGACUUAGAGUCUCCUGAAGGAACGUUGAAGACGACGACGUUGAUAGGCCGGGUGUGUAAGCGCAGCGAUGCGUUGAGCUAACCGGUACUAAUGAACCGUGAGGCUUAACCUUACA